Molecule: ribosomal RNA, 468 nt
Filed under: uncultured bacterium
Lineage: Bacteria
Description: partial 16S ribosomal RNA
Rfam family: Bacterial small subunit ribosomal RNA
Source: RNAcentral
GACGAACGCUGGCGGCGUGCUUAACACAUGCAAGUCGAACGGAAAGGCCCUGCUUUUGUGGGGUGCUCGAGUGGCGAACGGGUGAGUAACACGUGAGUAACCUGCCCUUGACUUUGGGAUAACUUCAGGAAACUGGGGCUAAUACCGGAUAGGAGCUCCUGCUGCAUGGUGGGGGUUGGAAAGUCUCGGCGGUCGGGGAUGGACUGGCGGCUUAUCAGCUUGUUGGUGGGGUAGUGGCUGACCAAGGAUUUGACCGAUAGCCGGCCUGGGAGGGGGACCGGCGACAUUGGGACUAAGAGACGGCGCAGACGGCUACGGGAGGCAGCAGGGGGGAAUAUGGCACAAUGGGCGGAAGCCUGUGGCGGCAACGCCGCGUGCGGGAUGACGGCCUGCGGGUUGUAAACCGCUUUCGCCUGUGACGAAGCGUUAGUGACGGUAAUGGGUAAAGAAGCACCGGCUAACUACGUG